This 253-nucleotide ribosomal RNA is filed under the name uncultured bacterium. Its description in RNAcentral is "partial 16S ribosomal RNA". It matches the Rfam family "Bacterial small subunit ribosomal RNA", at positions 524 to 776 of the family's 1533-position model. The record is from RNAcentral.
UACGUAGGGGGCGAGCGUUGUCCGGAAUUAUUGGGCGUAAAGCGCGCGCAGGCGGUCUUUUAAGUCUGAUGUGAAAGCCCACGGCUUAACCGUGGAGUGUCAUUGGAAACUGAAGGGCUUGAGUACAGAAGAGGAGAGUGGAAUUCCACGUGGAGCGGUGAAAUGCGUAGAUAUGUGGAGGAACACCAGUGGCGAAGGCGACUCUCUGGUCUGUAACUGACGCUGAGGCGCGAAAGCGUGGGUAGCGAACAGG